Molecule: small nuclear RNA, 97 nt
Organism: Dipodomys ordii (Ord's kangaroo rat)
Lineage: Eukaryota; Metazoa; Chordata; Mammalia; Rodentia; Heteromyidae
Source: Ensembl
UUGUUUUGGCAGCGCAUAUACUAAAACUGGAAGGGUACGGAGAAGAUUAGCAUAGCCCCUGCACAAGGAUGACACGCAUGAAGUGUUCCAUAUUUUA